This 438-nucleotide ribosomal RNA is filed under the name Triticum aestivum (bread wheat). RNAcentral's name for it is "partial small subunit ribosomal RNA". Lineage: Eukaryota; Viridiplantae; Streptophyta; Magnoliopsida; Poales; Poaceae. The record is from RNAcentral.
AUGACUAGAGAUAAUCUUAGGAAGAGGCAUAUCAUUAAGCCACUUGAUUGUGUCUUUUGCACUGCUCCAGAAUCUAUCUCACACCUCUUCUUUGAUUGUGUGGUAGCUAGGCAAGUCUGGACAUGUGUCAAAAGACACUUCAGAGUAGAUGUUGGAUCCUCGUUUGAAUCUGUAGCCAGAUACUGGGUCUCAAACAACAAAACCUCUGCUAUGAACAUUGUCAAUGCUGCAGUCCUGUGGGGACUCUGGAAAACUAGAAAUUCCUUUAUUUUUGACAACCAUAUCUGGAUUUCCAUCAAACAGGUGCCGAGACUGGUUUUGAGGAUGAUCAAAACCUGGUCUGUUCUUUCCCCAUAGCAAAGUGAGAUAAGGCUAGAGGCCUUUCCUGGACAUAUGACAAGCUGCAUUCGGCGUCCUCUAACGAGCUCAUGUGGCUGA